Molecule: ribosomal RNA, 482 nt
Filed under: uncultured bacterium
Lineage: Bacteria
Description: partial 16S ribosomal RNA
Rfam family: Bacterial small subunit ribosomal RNA
Source: RNAcentral
AUUGAACGCUGGCGGCAUGCCUUACACAUGCAAGUCGAACGGUAACAGGUCUUCGGAUGCUGACGAGUGGCGAACGGGUGAGUAAUACAUCGGAACGUGCCCGAUCGUGGGGGAUAACGAGGCGAAAGCUUUGCUAAUACCGCAUACGAUCUACGGAUGAAAGCGGGGGAUCUUCGGACCUCGCGCGGACGGAGCGGCCGAUGGCAGAUUAGGUAGUUGGUGGGAUAAAAGCUUACCGAGCCGACGAUCUGUAGCUGGUCUGAGAGGAUGAUCAGCCACACUGGGACUGAGACACGGCCCAGACUCCUACGGGAGGCAGCAGUGGGGAAUUUUGGACAAUGGGCGAAAGCCUGAUCCAGCCAUGCCGCGUGCAGGAUGAAGGCCUUCGGGUUGUAAACUGCUUUUGUACGGAACGAAAAGCCUCUUUCUAAUAAAGAGGGGUCAUGACGGUACCGUAAGAAUAAGCACCGGCUAACUACGUG